GAUGAACGCUGGCGGCGUGCCUAAUACAUGCAAGUCGAGCGAACAGACGAUGAGCUUGCUCCUCUGACGUUAGCGGCGGACGGGUGAGUAACACGUGGAUAACCUACCUAUAAGACUGGGAUAACUUCGGGAAACCGGAGCUAAUACCGGAUAAUAUAUUGAACCGCAUGGUUCAAUAGUGAAAGACGGUUUUGCUGUCACUUAUAGAUGGAUCCGCGCCGCAUUAGCUAGUUGGUAAGGUAACGGCUUCCCAAGGCAACGAUGCGUAGCCGAGUCGAGAGGGAUAUCCAGCCACACUGAAAUGGGGCACGGUCCCGACUCCCACGGGGGGGCGCAGGAGGGAAACUUCCGAAAAGGGGGGAAACCUUGCGGCACACAGCCCCGUGAGUGAUGAAGGUCUUCGGAGCGUAAAACUCUGUUAUUAGGGAAAAAAAAAUGUGUAAGUAACUAUGCGCGUCUCGGAGGUAACUAAUAAGAUAACCACGGCUAAAUACGUG
This 497-nucleotide ribosomal RNA is filed under the name uncultured bacterium. Its description in RNAcentral is "partial 16S ribosomal RNA". It matches the Rfam family "Bacterial small subunit ribosomal RNA", at positions 28 to 507 of the family's 1533-position model. The record is from RNAcentral.